RNAcentral lists this long non-coding RNA (174 nucleotides) under Mustela putorius furo (domestic ferret). RNAcentral describes it as "lncRNA (ENSMPUG00000029880.1)". Lineage: Eukaryota; Metazoa; Chordata; Mammalia; Carnivora; Mustelidae. The record is from RNAcentral.
CACUUCCUCCCACUCCUGUCUUUCUGUGAUAGCUUCUGGUUAUAUUUUCUUCAUGGUAUUUCAGUACCUGAAAUGAUUCUAUUCAGAAAGAGAGAGAUCACAAGUAGGCAGAGAGGCAAGCAGAGAGAGAGAGAGAGGAGGAAGCAGCUCUCUGCUGAGCAGAGAGCCCGAUGA